RNAcentral lists this long non-coding RNA (1279 nucleotides) under Marmota monax (woodchuck). The record is from RNAcentral. Lineage: Eukaryota; Metazoa; Chordata; Mammalia; Rodentia; Sciuridae.
CAAAAGGAAGUAAAGUAAUUAUCAGUCUCCACCUACAUUUAUACGUGAGCCUUUUAUACAUUAGGUAACUCAUCCAUGGUCACUGGAUUUUAACCAGUUUUUGUGAAUCUGUAUUAUUCUCCUAAACCAUACUGUUCACCAGAGAAAGAGUAAUUUGGUUUCAAAACAAUAAAAUAAAGAUUAACAUCACAUAACACAGGCAACAUACACUGUUAGCUAUGAUCUAUUGGACAUUUCCAGCACACUAAAGCAAGCAGUGGGUAUCUGCAUGAAAUAUGUAUAUCAUUGCACUUAGGAAGAGGAAAUAUGAACCUUUUUAGAAUAUGUAUGCCAAGCACAGUGUAUGACGCUCCCUACAGUUGCCCUUUCGUGAAAUUCACACUAUAAUCACAUAUUCUACAUUUUUCUUUGAGAUGACAAUCUCCACAAAUGGAAACAGCAACAGUUCUCUUAAAUAUAGACAUAAAGAAGGUAAAUAAGGUCUAGCUUUCCAUUCUAGAUUCUGGGCGAUUUCAACUCUAGAGUUUCUAGAUUGCUUAGGACUCUACCAGAAGCCUCUACUUCAUUCUAUGAACAGUACCUGCUAAAUUAAGCUCAUGUUUUAAACAUUGAUUCUUUGAAAAGUGUCUGGAGUACCCGACUUAUGCCACCAGAUACCUUAGUCUUACAGCAUGGCACUGUGGAAGGAAAAUUGUCCAGUGAUGAACUGGUAGGCUGUGUAGAAAUAUGGUCAUCGUGAAAAAAAAAUACUUUGUGGGUAGAGCAAAAACAGGAACUAAAAUCAAGAGUCAUGCACAAUUAUAAAGAAGAAGUAAGCGACUCUCUGGUGAAACAGAGGAAAAAAGUGAGUUUCCCAGAAAGAGCUCCACCAGGGGCAGUAUGAAAUGUUGAAAACAACUACUGUUCCAGAAAGUCUGGUUUCCCUAUGUACUAACUACAACAUAAAAAUGAAUUGAAAUUCAACAAAAUUGAAUUCAGAAAAUUCAUUUAAAUGCCAGAGACUUGUCCCUAUAUUAUUGUUAAAAAUCUCUUGAGCCAGAUGUAACAGUGGAUGCCUGUCAUCCCAGCAACUCAAGAAGCUGAGGCAGGAGGACCUCAAGUUCAAGGUCAGCCUCAGCGCUUUAGUGAGGCCCUCAGUAACUUAGCCAGACUCUGUCUCAAAAUAGAAUAAAGUAAAUGUACUGGUGAUGUGGCUCAGUGAUUAAACACCCCUUGGUUUAAUCCAUGGUUUAAAAGAAAACCUCUUAAGACACAAGCUAUUUUAAAAGACAUGUAUUAG